Molecule: long non-coding RNA, 1215 nt
Organism: Centruroides sculpturatus (bark scorpion)
Lineage: Eukaryota; Metazoa; Arthropoda; Arachnida; Scorpiones; Buthidae
Exons: 5
Source: RefSeq, a predicted model, not a curated record
AAGCCGGAUUAUCGGGUGGUGCCGAAUUUAAAACGGAAUUGAAGUUAUGCGCCGAAAUGAAGAAAAUUCCAAGAUAUAUAUAUAUAUAAUACUUUUAAUUAACAAAUCAUUUUUGUAUAAUAAUUAAUUCACAGUAUUUAUAUUAUAUUAAAAUAUUCGUAUUUUUUCAAUAAUUCUAAAUGAGAAACGUGAAUUCACCGCAUAAUGGCUACAAAAUUCAAUAUUUCGAUCCGAAUUUAAGUAAUUUGUUAAAUGUUCGCAUAGAUUUCUAUUAAAUACAUUAAUCCUGAAUAAUUAUAUUCCAAAUUGCAUUUAAGAAAAGAAAAAAUUUCAGAUGAAUAAAUCCGGCGUGAGUGGCGCGUUGAUCUUUCAAGAUGGCGGAAGACACCGAAACAUAGAAGAUUGGGCAUGUCUGUGUUAUAAUUGUGGAAGUGAAACUCAAAAUAAGAAUUGAUGGAAAUUCAUAAUUGUCAAUGUUCAUAAUGGAGAACAGAAGGAAGACAUGAAGUCACCACUUGUUCACCAGAUGUUGCCUGUACCACACCUCCUUUGUAACCGCUCUGCACCUUGUAAUAAUGCCACCUUCAACUCUAUUAUUUUACUGUUGUGGAAGGAAUAUCUUCAAAAGAGAAGAGAAAUACAGAGGAAGAUGAAGAUUGGUUUAUUUGGUUAUGGCUAGGUGAUCUGCCGAGGGGAUGCCUCUCAAGAGGACUUUCUAUGAAGACUGGACCCCAUUUAGGUGUUACUAAUGUUAAAAAAUCUAGAAAACUCCACAUGAAAUAAAUAAUAAAAAACAAUGGGAUCGGUGUAGACAAAUAUUAAAAUUAAUAAAUUCUAAAAAUUUUUCGGUUUAAAAAAAUUUCUAAGAACCACAAGUGACGUUCACUCUUUAAUUCCGACUUCGAUAGAGUUUAAAAAAACAGAGAAAACCAGAGAAUUAUUUUCACUAUUUCUUACUUUAUUAUGUUAUCCAUAUAUAUUUCGCUAUUUUAGCCUCUUCAGUAGAUAUUACACUGUCAAGUUGCCAGUACUAUUAUAGUUUAUCAAGUUAUCCCAGCAUGCAUCGACAUAUGCUCCGUGUUGUUGCCACGGGGAUUCAGUUCUGUUCAAUCGAAUUGCCGCCUCAUGCUCCUUUAGCCUCACUUCCAGUUUUCUUCCUGUUUCUCCAACGUAGCUUUUCCGUUCUGUGCACGUACACAUCAAUUCAUAUACGAC